RNAcentral lists this transfer RNA (86 nucleotides) under Microgenomates group bacterium ADurb.Bin219. RNAcentral describes it as "tRNA-Leu". It matches the Rfam family "tRNA". Rfam says of the family: Transfer RNA (tRNA) molecules are approximately 80 nucleotides in length. Their secondary structure includes four short double-helical elements and three loops (D, anti-codon, and T loops). Further hydrogen bonds mediate the characteristic L-shaped molecular structure. tRNAs have two regions of fundamental functional importance: the anti-codon, which is responsible for specific mRNA codon recognition, and the 3' end, to which the tRNAs corresponding amino acid is attached (by aminoacyl-tRNA synthetases). tRNAs cope with the degeneracy of the genetic code in two manners: having more than one tRNA (with a specific anti-codon) for a particular amino acid; and 'wobble' base-pairing, i.e. permitting non-standard base-pairing at the 3rd anti-codon position. The record is from RNAcentral.
GCGGACGUGGCGAAAUUGGUAGACGCGCAGGCAUGAGGAGCCUGUGGCCUAAAAACCUUGGAGGUUCGAUUCCUCUCGUCCGCACC